Molecule: ribosomal RNA, 484 nt
Filed under: uncultured bacterium
Lineage: Bacteria
Description: partial 16S ribosomal RNA
Rfam family: Bacterial small subunit ribosomal RNA
Source: RNAcentral
AUUGAACGCUGGCGGCAGGCCUAACACAUGCAAGUCGAGCGGAUGAAGGGAGCUUGCUCCUGGAUUCAGCGGCGGACGGGUGAGUAAUGCCUAGGAAUCUGCCUGGUAGUGGGGGAUAACGUCCGGAAACGGGCGCUAAUACCGCAUACGUCCUGAGGGAGAAAGUGGGGGAUCUUCGGACCUCACGCUAUCAGAUGAGCCUAGGUCGGAUUAGCUAGUUGGUGGGGUAAAGGCCUACCAAGGCGACGAUCCGUAACUGGUCUGAGAGGAUGAUCAGUCACACUGGAACUGAGACACGGUCCAGACUCCUACGGGAGGCAGCAGUGGGGAAUAUUGGACAAUGGGCGAAAGCCUGAUCCAGCCAUGCCGCGUGUGUGAAGAAGGUCUGCGGAUUGUAAAGCACUUUAAGUUGGGAGGAAGGGCAGUAAGUUAAUACCUUGCUGUUUUGACGUUACCAACAGAAUAAGCACCGGCUAACUUCGUG